Molecule: ribosomal RNA, 553 nt
Filed under: uncultured fungus
Lineage: Eukaryota; Fungi
Description: SSU rRNA
Rfam family: Eukaryotic small subunit ribosomal RNA
Source: RNAcentral
GUAGUCAUAUGCUUGUCUCAAAGAUUAAGCCAUGCAUGUCUAAGUAUAAGCAAUUAUACCGCGGAAACUGCGCAAUGGCUCAUUAAAUCAGUUAUCGUUUAUUUGAUAGUACCUUACUACAUGGAUAACCGUGGUAAUUCUAGAGCUAAUACAUGCUAAAAAUCCCGACUUCGGAAGGGAUGUAUUUAUUAGAUUAAAAACCAAUGCCCUUCGGGGCUCUCUGGUGAUUCAUAAUAACUUCUCGAAUCGCACGGCCUUGCGCCGGCGAUGGUUCAUUCAAAUUUCUGCCCUAUCAACUUUCGACGGCUGGGUCUUGGCCAGCCGUGGUGACAACGGGUAACGGAGGGUUAGGGCUCGACCCCGGAGAAGGAGCNUGAGAAACGGCUACUACAUCCAAGGAAGGCAGCAGGCGCGCAAAUUACCCAAUCCCGACACGGGGAGGUAGUGACAAUAAAUACUGAUACAGGGCUCUUUCGGGUCUUGUAAUUGGAAUGAGUACAAUUUAAAUCCCUUAACGAGGAACAAUUGGAGGGCAAGUCUGGUGCCAGCAGCC